This 457-nucleotide ribosomal RNA is filed under the name uncultured bacterium. Its description in RNAcentral is "partial 16S ribosomal RNA". It matches the Rfam family "Bacterial small subunit ribosomal RNA", at positions 29 to 506 of the family's 1533-position model. The record is from RNAcentral.
AACGAACGCUGGCGGCAUGCCUAACACAUGCAAGUCGAACGAAACCUCCGGGUCUUGUGGCGUAUGAGUGUGUAACGCGUGGGAACCUGCCCUUAGGGUCGGAAUAACUCUCCGAAUGGGGUGCUAAUACCGGAUAAUAUCUUCGGACCAAAGAUUUAUCGCCCUGGGAUGGGCACGCGUUGCAUUAGCUAGUUGGUAAGGUAAAGGCCUACCAAGGCAACGAUGCGUAGCCGGUCUGAGAGGAUGAUCAGCCACACUGGAACUGAGACACGGCCCAGACUCCUACGGGAGGCAGCAGUAGGGAAUCUUCCGCAAUGGGCGAAAGCCUGACGGAGCAACGCCGCGUGAGUGAUGAAGGUCUUCGGAUCGUAAAACUCUGUUAUUAGGGAAGAACAAAUGUGUAAGUAACUAUGCACGUCUUGACGGUACCUAAUCAGAAAGCCACGGCUAACUACGU